This 81-nucleotide non-coding RNA is filed under the name Desulfobacteraceae bacterium. Its description in RNAcentral is "c-di-GMP sequence". It matches the Rfam family "c-di-GMP-I-GGC riboswitch aptamer". The record is from RNAcentral. Lineage: Bacteria; Pseudomonadati; Thermodesulfobacteriota; Desulfobacteria; Desulfobacterales; Desulfobacteraceae.
AACGAAAAAGCCAAACUCAUCGUGAGGUGAGGACGGAAAGCCACGGGUCUUAAAAUAAUAAAGAUAGCCGGGUUGCCUGAA